This 497-nucleotide ribosomal RNA is filed under the name uncultured bacterium. RNAcentral's name for it is "partial 16S ribosomal RNA". It matches the Rfam family "Bacterial small subunit ribosomal RNA", at positions 28 to 507 of the family's 1533-position model. The record is from RNAcentral.
GAUGAACGCUGGCGGCGUGCCUAAUACAUGCAAGUCGAACGCUGAAGGAAGGAGCUUGCUCUUUCCGGAUGAGUUGCGAACGGGUGAGUAACGCGUAGGUAACCUGCCUGGUAGCGGGGGAUAACUAUUGGAAACGAUAGCUAAUACCGCAUAACAGUAGAUAUUGCAUGAUAUCUGCUUGAAAGGGGCAAUUGCUCCACUACCAGAUGGACCUGCGUUGUAUUAGCUAGUUGGUGAGGUAACGGCUCACCAAGGCGACGAUACAUAGCCGACCUGAGAGGGUGAUCGGCCACACUGGGACUGAGACACGGCCCAGACUCCUACGGGAGGCAGCAGUAGGGAAUCUUCGGCAAUGGACGGAAGUCUGACCGAGCAACGCCGCGUGAGUGAAGAAGGUUGUCGGAUCGUAAAGCUCGGUUGUAAGAGAAGAACGAGUGUGAGAGUGGAAAGUUCACACUGUGACGGUAGCUUACCAGAAAGGGACGGCUAACUACGUG